Ixodes scapularis (black-legged tick) is the source of this 73-nucleotide non-coding RNA. The record is from Rfam. Lineage: Eukaryota; Metazoa; Arthropoda; Arachnida; Ixodida; Ixodidae.
UCCUGGUUAGCUCAGUUGAUAGAGCGCUCCUCUGGAAAUGAAGAGGUUCCUGGUUCGAUACUAGGGCCAGGCG